This is a long non-coding RNA of Octopus bimaculoides (California two-spot octopus), 612 nucleotides long. The record is from RefSeq and is a predicted model, not a curated record. NCBI's taxonomy places the organism in Eukaryota, Metazoa, Mollusca, Cephalopoda, Octopoda, Octopodidae.
GCAUUCGUGAUUGUAAGUUCGUGCUUUCGAUUCCCAGAGUGGGUGGUACCUUGUUUUCAAAACGUUUCACAUUGCUCCUUUCACCGACUGACAACUCUUUCAAGGCCAAUGUGUUUUGUGAACUUAUACGCCAUGGAAACUGGGUAACUAGCCCGAUCAGUCCUAGCACUCUACACUGUACUUAUUUAUAAUUUUACUUAUUCCACUCACUGGACCGCGGCCAUACUGGGGCACCACCUUGAAGGGUCAAGCAUAUCGAACCUAGAAUUUAUUUUUAAGUCCAAUAAUUAUUUAUCGAUUUCUUGUGCCAAACCAUUAAAUUAGUGGAGCGUAAAUAAAUCAGCUGCAUUUGUCAAGAAAGUCGAGUGGAUGAAGUCAACACGAACACGUUUUCCGAUUGGAGUCUCUUUACAGCUGAUAUACAAACGAAUGUUGUUUAUGAUAUCACUACAGAUGGAUUGUGGAAAAGAUCUGCAAAAUGUUCUCUCCAUCUAUUCAUUAUUCCAGGAGGAUUUUUAAUAACCUCAUUUCAAUCUUUCAACUUUAAGGGAACCUAUGAUGAUGAAGAUGGUGGUCCAAAAGCUUGCCGCAAUAAACUAUAGAAACUUUUAA